Oncorhynchus keta (chum salmon) is the source of this 438-nucleotide long non-coding RNA. RefSeq lists it as uncharacterized. The transcript has 3 exons. NCBI's taxonomy places the organism in Eukaryota, Metazoa, Chordata, Actinopteri, Salmoniformes, Salmonidae. The record is from RefSeq and is a predicted model, not a curated record.
AAUUAUUAUAAAAUAAAAAAAGAUGCAUCAUAUCUCAGAAUGAUUUUCUUUGAAAGCCUGGGAAAACGCUUGGGCUUCUUCUGGAUGAUCUGGACAUGCUAUACAACCCCAAAAUAUGUAUUACCGCCACCAACUGGACGACGUUGAAAAAAACAAGCAAAUGGCACAAUCAAUAUCAACUGUCCCAGGAUGCACCACCAUGAGCAGAGGGCCAGGAAAACCACCAAGCUGCCUGCAAGGCUGAAUAAUAUUUCGGAUUUCCUGUUAUCAACCUAUUGCCUGAUCUCCCGGAUGACGUUACAAGCCUUUUCCAUGCCUGUACUAUUGCCUUUUUGGACCCCCGGUGUAUGACAUUCUGCCUGCCCCUGGACCCAGCUACCUGCCUCCUCAUGUGGUCCUUUACCAAUAAAGACCUGCUGCGCCCUGCGCUUGAAACCA